GCCUGGCUGGCUCAGUCAGUAGAGCAUGAGACUCUUGAUCUCAGGAUUGUGAGUUCAAACUACACACAGGGCA
Transfer RNA from Felis catus (domestic cat), 73 nucleotides. It matches the Rfam family "tRNA". From Rfam's summary of the family: Transfer RNA (tRNA) molecules are approximately 80 nucleotides in length. Their secondary structure includes four short double-helical elements and three loops (D, anti-codon, and T loops). The record is from Rfam. NCBI's taxonomy places the organism in Eukaryota, Metazoa, Chordata, Mammalia, Carnivora, Felidae.